Molecule: ribosomal RNA, 730 nt
Filed under: bacterium SCSIO13030
Lineage: Bacteria
Description: bacterial SSU rRNA
Rfam family: Bacterial small subunit ribosomal RNA
Source: RNAcentral
AGAAGCUUGCUUCUGGUGGAUGAGUGGCGAACGGGUGAGUAACACGUGAGUAACCUGCCCCCGAUUUCGGGAUAAGCCCGGGAAACUGGGUCUAAUACCGGAUAUGACCUGCCCUCGCAUGAGGGUUGGUGGAAAGUUUUUCGAUCGGGGAUGGGCUCGCGGCCUAUCAGCUUGUUGGUGGGGUAAUGGCCUACCAAGGCGACGACGGGUAGCCGGCCUGAGAGGGCGACCGGCCACACUGGGACUGAGACACGGCCCAGACUCCUACGGGAGGCAGCAGUGGGGAAUAUUGCACAAUGGGGGAAACCCUGAUGCAGCGACGCAGCGUGCGGGAUGACGGCCUUCGGGUUGUAAACCGCUUUCAGCAGGGAAGAAGCCGUAAGGUGACGGUACCUGCAGAAGAAGUACCGGCUAACUACGUGCCAGCAGCCGCGGUAAUACGUAGGGUACGAGCGUUGUCCGGAAUUAUUGGGCGUAAAGAGCUCGUAGGUGGUUGGUCACGUCUGCUGUGGAAACGCAACGCUUAACGUUGCGCGUGCAGUGGGUACGGGCUGACUAGAGUGCAGUAGGGGAGUCUGGAAUUCCUGGUGUAGCGGUGAAAUGCGCAGAUAUCAGGAGGAACACCGGUGGCGAAGGCGGGACUCUGGGCUGUAACUGACACUGAGGAGCGAAAGCAUGGGGAGCGAACAGGAUUAGAUACCCUGGUAGUCCAUGCCGUAAACGUUGGGCA